This 496-nucleotide ribosomal RNA is filed under the name uncultured bacterium. RNAcentral describes it as "partial 16S ribosomal RNA". It matches the Rfam family "Bacterial small subunit ribosomal RNA", at positions 29 to 507 of the family's 1533-position model. The record is from RNAcentral.
ACGAACGCUGGCGGCGUGCCUAAUACAUGCAAGUUGAGCGCUGAAGGUUGGUACUUGUACCAACUGGAUGAGCAGCGAACGGGUGAGUAACGCGUGGGGAAUCUGCCUUUGAGCGGGGGACGACAUUUGGAAACGAAUGCUAAUACCGCAUAAAAACUUUAAACACAAGUUUUAAGUUUGAAAGAUGCAAUUGCAUCACUCAAAGAUGAUCCCGCGUUGUAUUAGCUAGUUGGUGAGGUAAAGGCUCACCAAGGCGAUGAUACAUAGCCGACCUGAGAGGGUGAUCGGCCACAUUGGGACUGAGACACGGCCCAAACUCCUACGGGAGGCAGCAGUAGGGAAUCUUCGGCAAUGGACGAAAGUCUGACCGAGCAACGCCGCGUGAGUGAAGAAGGUUUUCGGAUCGUAAAACUCUGUUGGUAGAGAAGAACGUUGGUGAGAGUGGAAAGCUCAUCAAGUGACGGUAACUACCCAGAAAGGGACGGCUAACUACGUG